Molecule: unclassified non-coding RNA, 221 nt
Filed under: Melitaea cinxia (Glanville fritillary)
Lineage: Eukaryota; Metazoa; Arthropoda; Insecta; Lepidoptera; Nymphalidae
Description: misc RNA ENSMCXG00005003519.1
Source: RNAcentral
AUUUCGACAAAUUGGUCCCAUUUAAAUUUAUUUGAGAUCUAACAACUACUUUUCGAGUUAUAUCUAAUAAUGCGUUUUUACUUGACGCUUUUAUUCGUCGACCUACGUUGUAUUAUACCGCAUAACUUUCUACUGGAUGUACCGAUUUUGAUAAUUCUUUUUUUGUUAGAAAGGAGAUAUCCCUAGUUUAGUACCAUGAUAAGGAAACCAGGAUCUGAUGA